Molecule: ribosomal RNA, 418 nt
Filed under: uncultured bacterium
Lineage: Bacteria
Description: bacterial SSU rRNA
Rfam family: Bacterial small subunit ribosomal RNA
Source: RNAcentral
GGCCCAGACUCCUACGGGAGGCAGCAGUGGGGGAUAUUGCACAAUGGGGGGAACCCUGAUGCAGCGACGCCGCGUGUGGGAAGACGGUCCUCUGGAUUGUAAACCACUGUCCCCAGGGACGAAGAUGACGGUACCUGGGGAGGAAGCUCCGGCUAACUACGUGCCAGCAGCCGCGGUAAUACGUAGGGAGCAAGCGUUGUCCGGAAUUACUGGGUGUAAAGGGAGCGUAGGCGGGAUGGCAAGUUGGGUGUUAAAUCUACCGGCUCAACUGGGAGUCGCACUCAAAACUGCUAUUCUUGAGUGAAGUAGAGGCAGGCGGAAUUCCUAGUGUAGCGGUGAAAUGCGUAGAUAUUAGGAGGAACACCAGUGGCGAAGGCGGGUUCCUGGACAUUAACUGACGCUGAGGCACGAAGGCCAG